This 493-nucleotide ribosomal RNA is filed under the name uncultured bacterium. RNAcentral's name for it is "bacterial SSU rRNA". It matches the Rfam family "Bacterial small subunit ribosomal RNA", at positions 29 to 507 of the family's 1533-position model. The record is from RNAcentral.
AUGAACGCUAGCGGCAGGGCUUAACACAUGCAAGUCGAGGGGCAGCAUGAGACGGAGAUUCGUCGAAGUCUUGAUGGCGACCGGCGCAAGGGUGCGUAACGCGUGAGCAACUUGCCCGUUUCUGGGGAAUAACCGGUGGAAACGCCGACUAAUACCCCCAUAGUAUUGACUUUGGGCAUCCUUAGUCAAUUAAAGAAUUUCGGAAACGGAUAGGCUCGCGUGACAUUAGCUGGAUGGCGGGGUAACGGCCCACCAUGGCAACGAUGUCUAGGGGUUCUGAGAGGAAGGUCCCCCACACUGGAACUGAGACACGGUCCAGACUCCUACGGGAGGCAGCAGUGAGGAAUAUUGGUCAAUGGUCUGACGACUGAACCAGCCAUGCCGCGUGAAGGUCACGGCCCUAUGGGUCUUAAACUUCUUUUGUAAGGGAGCAAUAAGCUUUACGUGUAGAGUGAUGAGAGUACCUUACGAAUAAGCAUCGGCUAACUCCGUG